CGUGGCGAACGGGUGCGUAACACGUGGACAACCUCCCUUCAGGUGGGGAAUAACCCAGCGAAAGUUGGGCUAAUACCGCAUAACAUGACCUGGGCACAUGCUUGGGUCCUCAAAGGAGCAAUUCGCCAGAAGAGGGGUCCGCGGCCGAUUAGCUUGUUGGCGAGGUAAUGGCUCACCAAGGCAAUGAUCGGUAGCCGGUCUGAGAGGAUGAUCGGCCACACUGGAACUGAGACACGGUCCAGACUCCUACGGGAGGCAGCAGUGGGGAAUCUUGCGCAAUGGGCGAAAGCCUGACGCAGCGACGCCGCGUGGGGGAUGAAGCUUCUCGGAGUGUAAACCCCUUUCGACCCGGACGAAUGACCCGCAAGGGUUUGACGGUACGGGUAUAAGAAGCCCCGGCUAACUACGUGCCAGCAGCCGCGGUAAUACGUAGGGGGCCAGCGUUGCUCGGAAUUACUGGGCGUAAAGGGUUCGUAGGCGGUGCGGCAAGUUGGGAGUGAAAUCUCUGGGCUUAACCCAGAGGCUGCUUUCAAAACUGCCGUGCUCGAGUGCGGGAGAGGCCAGUGGAAUUGCAGGUGUAGCGGUGAAAUGCGUAGAUAUCUGCAGGAACACCCGUGGCGAAGGCGGCUGGCUGGACCGCAACUGACGCUGAGGAACGAAAGCUAGGGGAGCAAACAGGAUUAGAUACCCUGGUAGUCCUAGCCCUAAACCAUCAGAACUUGGGGUGGCUCGCGUAGGCGGGUCGUCCCGUAGCUAACGCGUUAAGUUCUGCGCCUGGGGAGUACGGUCGCAAGACUGAAACUCAAAGGAAUUGACGGGGGCCCGCACAAGCGGUGGAACAUGUGGUUCAAUUCGA
This 856-nucleotide ribosomal RNA is filed under the name uncultured bacterium. Its description in RNAcentral is "bacterial SSU rRNA". It matches the Rfam family "Bacterial small subunit ribosomal RNA", at positions 94 to 954 of the family's 1533-position model. The record is from RNAcentral.